RNAcentral lists this transfer RNA (74 nucleotides) under Escherichia coli. RNAcentral's name for it is "tRNA-Gln". It matches the Rfam family "tRNA". From Rfam's summary of the family: Transfer RNA (tRNA) molecules are approximately 80 nucleotides in length. Their secondary structure includes four short double-helical elements and three loops (D, anti-codon, and T loops). Lineage: Bacteria; Pseudomonadati; Pseudomonadota; Gammaproteobacteria; Enterobacterales; Enterobacteriaceae. The record is from RNAcentral. RNAcentral also lists the same sequence under 73 other names.
UGGGGAUUUGCAUAGUGGUAGUGCGGUAGACUCUGACUCUACUUGUGGGAGUUCGAUUCUCUCAUCCCCAACCA